GCCUGGGUGGCUCAGUCGGUUGAGCAUCUGACUUUGGUUCAGGUCAUGAUCUCAUGGUUCCUGGGUUCCUGGGUUUGAGCCCUACCUCGGGCU
This 93-nucleotide transfer RNA is filed under the name Felis catus (domestic cat). It matches the Rfam family "tRNA". Rfam says of the family: Transfer RNA (tRNA) molecules are approximately 80 nucleotides in length. Their secondary structure includes four short double-helical elements and three loops (D, anti-codon, and T loops). The record is from Rfam by way of RNAcentral. Lineage: Eukaryota; Metazoa; Chordata; Mammalia; Carnivora; Felidae.